CUACGGGCGGCAGCAGUGGGGAAUAUUGGACAAUGGGGGAAACCCUGAUCCAGCAAUGCCGCGUGUGUGAAGAAGGCCUGCGGGUUGUAAAGCACUUUCGGUUGGGAGGACUGCUUCUAGCACUAAUAUUGUUGGAAGUUGACGUUACCUUCAGAAGAAGCACCGGCUAACUCCGUGACAGCAACCGCGGUAAUACGGAGGGUGCAAGCGUUAAUCGGAAUUACUGGGCGUAAAGCGCGCGUAGGCGGCUAGAUCAGUCGGGUGUGAAAGCCCCGGGCUUAACCUGGGAACUGCAUCCGAUACUGUCUAGCUUGAGUACAGGAGAGGAGAGUGGAAUUCCACAUGUAGCGGUGAAAUGCGUAGAUAUGUGGAGGAACACCAAUGGCGAAGGCAGCUCUCUGGCCUGAUACUGACGCUGAGGUGCGAAAGCGUGGGGAGCAAACAGGAUUAGAUACCCGCGUAGUC
Molecule: ribosomal RNA, 465 nt
Filed under: uncultured bacterium
Lineage: Bacteria
Description: partial 16S ribosomal RNA
Rfam family: Bacterial small subunit ribosomal RNA
Source: RNAcentral